AUUGAACGCUGGCGGCAGGCCUAACACAUGCAAGUCGAACGAGUGGCGGACGGGUGAGUAAUGUCUGGGAAACUGCCUGAUGGAGGGGGAUAACUACUGGAAACGGUAGCUAAUACCGCAUACCAUCAGAUGUGCCCAGAUGGGAUUAGCUUGUUGGUGGGGUAACGGCUCACCAAGGCGACGAUCCCUAGCUGGUCUGAGAGGAUGACAAGCAAAACUGGAACUGAGAAACGGUCCAGACUCCUACGGGAGGAAGCAGGGGGGAAGAUUGCACAAUGGGCGAAAGCGUGAUGCAGCCAUGCCGCGUGGAGGAAGAAGGCCGUCGGGGUGUAAAGUACUUUCAGCGGGGAGGCGUUACCCGCAGAAGAAGCACCGGCUAACUCCGUGCCAGCAGCCGCGGUAAUUC
RNAcentral lists this ribosomal RNA (406 nucleotides) under uncultured bacterium. RNAcentral describes it as "partial 16S ribosomal RNA". It matches the Rfam family "Bacterial small subunit ribosomal RNA", at positions 29 to 526 of the family's 1533-position model. The record is from RNAcentral.